AUUGAACGCUGGCGGAAUGCUUUACACAUGCAAGUCGAACGGCAGCGCGGGGGCAGCCCUGGUGGCGAGUGGCGAACGGGUGAGUAAUACAUCGGAACGUGCCCGGUCGUGGGGGAUAACGUAGCGAAAGUUACGCUAAUACCGCAUACGAUCUGAGGAUGAAAGCGGGGGACCUUCGGGCCUCGCGCGAUCGGAGCGGCCGAUGUCAGAUUAGGUAGUUGGUGGGGUAAAGGCCUACCAAGCCGACGAUCUGUAGCUGGUCUGAGAGGACGACCAGCCACACUGGGACUGAGACACGGCCCAGACUCCUACGGGAGGCAGCAGUGGGGAAUUUUGGACAAAGGGCGCAAGCCUGAUCCAGCCAUUCCGCGUGCAGGACGAAGGCCUUCGGGUUGUAAACUGCUUUUGUACGGAACGAAAAGGCUCUGGCUAAUACCUGGGGCUCAUGACGGUACCGUAAGAAUAAGCACCGGCUAACUACGUG
RNAcentral lists this ribosomal RNA (484 nucleotides) under uncultured bacterium. RNAcentral's name for it is "partial 16S ribosomal RNA". It matches the Rfam family "Bacterial small subunit ribosomal RNA", at positions 29 to 507 of the family's 1533-position model. The record is from RNAcentral.